Molecule: ribosomal RNA, 278 nt
Filed under: uncultured bacterium
Lineage: Bacteria
Description: partial 16S ribosomal RNA
Rfam family: Bacterial small subunit ribosomal RNA
Source: RNAcentral
UGGGGAAUCUUGCGCAAUGGGCGAAAGCCUGACGCAGCGACGCCGCGUGGGGGAGGAAGCUUUUCGGAGUGUAAACCUCUGUCAGGGGGGAAGAAUGGGCCGGGAGGAAAUGCCUCGGUUUUGACGGUACCUCCAAAGGAAGCACCGGCUAACUCUGUGCCAGCAGCCGCGGUAAUACAGAGGGUGCGAGCGUUGUUCGGAAUUACUGGGCGUAAAGCGCGCGCAGGCGGUCCUUUAAGUCUACCCGUGAAAUGCCGGAGCUCAACUCCGUGCACGCC